UGUUAGUGGCAGACGGGUGAGUAAUGCGUAGGAAUCUACCUAGUAGUAUGGAAUAGCCAUUAGAAAUGAUGGGUAAUACUGUAUAAUCCCUGCGGGGGAAAGAUUUAUCGCUAUUAGAUGAGCCUACGUUAGAUUAGCUAGUUGGUAAGGUAAUGGCUUACCAAGGCUAUGAUCUAUAGCUGGUCUGAGAGGACGAUCAGCCACACUGGAACUGAGAUACGGUCCAGACUCCUACGGGAGGCAGCAGUGGGGAAUAUUGGACAAUGGGCGAAAGCCUGAUCCAGCUAUGCCGCGUGAGUGAAGAAGGCCUUCGGGUGAAAA
RNAcentral lists this ribosomal RNA (321 nucleotides) under Ehrlichia chaffeensis. Its description in RNAcentral is "bacterial SSU rRNA". It matches the Rfam family "Bacterial small subunit ribosomal RNA", at positions 90 to 429 of the family's 1533-position model. Lineage: Bacteria; Pseudomonadati; Pseudomonadota; Alphaproteobacteria; Rickettsiales; Anaplasmataceae. The record is from RNAcentral.